RNAcentral lists this ribosomal RNA (254 nucleotides) under uncultured bacterium. RNAcentral describes it as "partial 16S ribosomal RNA". It matches the Rfam family "Bacterial small subunit ribosomal RNA", at positions 524 to 776 of the family's 1533-position model. The record is from RNAcentral.
GACGUAGGGCGCAAGCGUUUGUCCGGAUUUAUUGGGCGUAAAGAGCUCGUAGGCGGCUUGUCGCGUCGACCGUGAAAACCCGCAGCUCAACUGCGGGCUUGCGGUCGAUACGGGCAGGCUCGAGUUCGGUAGGGGAGACUGGAAUUCCUGGUGUAGCGGUGAAAUGCGCAGAUAUCAGGAGGAACACCGGUGGCGAAGGCGGGUCUCUGGGCCGAUACUGACGCUGAGGAGCGAAAGCGUGGGGAGCGAACAGG